RNAcentral lists this long non-coding RNA (602 nucleotides) under Homo sapiens (human). RNAcentral's name for it is "non-protein coding lnc-IZUMO4-1:1". The record is from RNAcentral. Lineage: Eukaryota; Metazoa; Chordata; Mammalia; Primates; Hominidae.
UGGGAUUCCAGGUGUGAGCCACCGCACCAGGCCAUCUUUCUGUGUAUUUCUAUAGGCGUCCGCAAACUUUUUCUUUUUUCACUUGAUACUCACCUCAAUUAAGAGCAGGGAUAUUUACAUAUGAUCAGUUUAUUUUUUUUCCUAACACUAUUUAUUGAAAAUCUUUCAAUGUCAGCUCUCUCUCCCCACCUCCCCCGCUUUCUUUUUUUCUGAGACAGGGUCUUGCUCUGUUGCCCAGGCUGGAGUGCAGUAGUGCUAUCUCAACUUACUGCAGCCUCCGCCUCCAGGGCUUAAGUGAUCUUCCUGCCUCAGCCUCCUGAGUGGCUGGAAUCACAGGUGCACCAUCAUGCCUGGCUUGGUCACCAAACUUUUACUGUAAGGGGCAGACUGUCAAUAUUUUUGGCUUUGUCGGGUGCGGUGGCUCACGCCUGUAAUCCCAACACUUUGGGAGUCCAAGGUGGGUGGAUCACGAGGCCAGGAGUUCGAGACCAGCCUGGCCAACAUGGUGAAACCCUGUCACUACCAAAAAUACAAAAAUUAGGGCCGGGUGUGGUGGCUCACGCUUGUAAUCCCAGCACUUUGGUAGGCUGAGGCAGGAGAAU